Long non-coding RNA from Triticum dicoccoides, 1291 nucleotides. RefSeq lists it as uncharacterized. Lineage: Eukaryota; Viridiplantae; Streptophyta; Magnoliopsida; Poales; Poaceae. The record is from RefSeq and is a predicted model, not a curated record. The transcript has 2 exons.
UUGAGCGCUACAGGCUUUGGCGUGCAACCUCAUCCCCACGAUAUUUUUCCUAGAGCGUCUGCAGCCUCCGGCCUCUUUAGCUUCUCCAUCAAAUCCCUGGCCGGUUGAUUUUCCUUGCUCAUAUUCGUCUUCUUUCUUUUAGCCUUUCCCCUUCCAUGUCUAUUUCAAUCCCCAGUCAAUAUUAUACGGCUCCUCCGCUUCUUAUUCUUCCUGUUCCCAAUCUCCCUUCACCUGUCGCUUCGGCCUGCUUCCAUGGCUGGAUGAAACUACAAGGUGUCAAAUCCAACAGGGAUUUAAGUGGCGGCAAGGAUCCACAGUGGUGUUGGACUGGUUGCAACGGUAGCCGAUUCACUGGGCAUUGAUGCCGCUUCUAAAUACCUCGAUUGGUUAUAUCAUUGUCAGUGUCGUCGACAUUGCGGACCAAUCGGCGUCCUUGACGGCGCUAGGUAGUGUGCAAGCGCCGGUACAGAUCGAUGGGCGCCCUCUACCGGCACAACUGUAGUAUGCAUUGUCCAUGGCGCCGGGCAACAUGCAAGCUCUGCUGCAGAUCGAUAGUUCAUAGUUGAAGGCUUGAAGCAGCAGGAAAGGCAACCUGAAGUGCUCCUUUUUUACUUUCGGCUGUCCACUUCCUUGAGUUAUUUGUUGCUCCUCCUCUCCCCCAAUUAAUCAUGCUUAGAACAUUUACAACUUAAUUUCAAAUCUUGCAAUCAUCUAUUUUAUUGUUAUUAUGUAAAUUCUGGGGAGGCUAAUUAAUUUCGAUUACUGAUGCUAUCGAGUACUGUCAGUGGCAAAUAUGUUUUAUGUCCUUGAAAAAAAUGUGAUGAUCGUUGUUCAGGCCCUUAAAAAAAUUGUUUUCCAUUUUUUGGAUUAGGCUCUGUCCAUUCAUUGAUUUUUUUAUUUUUUGUUUGCAGGUCCCCGCGCCUUCAUGUUAUGGUGUGCCACAGCCACACGAUUCCUCAAGUGCUUCUUCAUGGAGUCUAUAGGCGAAGAACUGGAGGAAGGUGAACAACAGAGGUUGAAGGAUGGACUGCGACUGGCAUUUAUUAGGCUGGAUUAGAUAUGCUAAAUUGUUUGAUUACCAUGGUCACCAAGGCACUUAGAUGUAUAUGUGCUUGGCCACAGAAGUCACAUUCAGUUUUCCUCUGUUUCAAUAAGCCGCCAUGAAACUGUUCGCUGAUUGUCCCUACAGUUGCUUGCUAAUGUGAUCCAUGAUGUUGCUACUUUGCAACAUUACAUAUUAUUGGCUCCUUUUUCCUACCACACUAACAGGUUAAUACAAUUAUUUGAUUGA